This 433-nucleotide ribosomal RNA is filed under the name uncultured bacterium. RNAcentral describes it as "partial 16S ribosomal RNA". It matches the Rfam family "Bacterial small subunit ribosomal RNA", at positions 29 to 507 of the family's 1533-position model. The record is from RNAcentral.
AACGAACGCUGGCGGCAGGCCUAACACAUGCAAGUCGAGCGAGGACUUCGGUCCUAGCGGCGGACGGGUGAGUAACGCGUGGGAACGUGCCCUUUGCUUCGGAAUAGCCCUGGGAAACUGGGAGUAAUACCGGAUGAGCCCUUUGGGGGAAAGAUUUAUCGGCGAAGGAUCGGCCCGCGUUGGAUUAGGUAGUUGGUGGGGUAAUGGCCUACCAAGCCGACGAUCCAUAGAUGGUUGGAGAGGAUGAUCAGCCACACUGGGACUGAGACACGGCCCAGACUCCUACGGGAAGCAGCAGUGGGGAAUCUUAGACAAUGGGGGAAACCCUGAUCUAGCCAUGCCGCGUGAGCGAUGAAGGCCUUAGGGUUGUAAAGCUCUUUCAGCUGGGAAGAUAAUGACGGUACCAGCAGAAGAAGCCCCGGCUAACUCCGUG